AGUCUGCAACUCGACUGCAUGAAGCCGGAAUCGCUAGUAAUCGCGGAUCAGAAUGCCGCGGUGAAUACGUUCCCGGGUCUUGUACACACCGCCCGUCACACCAUGGGAGUCGGAAAUGCCCGAAGCCGGUGGCCUAACCGAUAAGGGAGGAGCCGUCGAAGGCAGGUCUGAUGACUGGGGUGAAGUCGUAACAAGGUAAC
RNAcentral lists this ribosomal RNA (200 nucleotides) under uncultured bacterium. RNAcentral's name for it is "partial 16S ribosomal RNA". It matches the Rfam family "Bacterial small subunit ribosomal RNA", at positions 1302 to 1500 of the family's 1533-position model. The record is from RNAcentral.